Long non-coding RNA from Oncorhynchus gorbuscha (pink salmon), 880 nucleotides. RefSeq lists it as uncharacterized. The record is from RefSeq and is a predicted model, not a curated record. Lineage: Eukaryota; Metazoa; Chordata; Actinopteri; Salmoniformes; Salmonidae. The transcript has 2 exons.
UCAACAAGUCUCAAUAAGAUGUUGGGUUAGGCAGGCUGAUCAACAAGUCUCAAUAAGAUGUUUGGUUAGGCAGGCUGAUCAACAAGUCUCAAUAAGGUGAUGGGUUAGGCAGGCUGAUCAACAAGUCUCAAUAAGAUGUUGGGUUAGUCAGGCUGAUCAACAAGUCUCAAUAAGGUGUUGGGUUAGUCAGGCUGAUCAACAAGUCUCAAUAAGAUGUUGGGUUAGUCAGGCUGAUCAACAAGUCUCAAUAAGGUGUUGGGUUAGUCAGGCUGAUCAACAAGUCUCAAUAAGGUGUUGGGUUAGUCAGGCUGAUCAACAAGUCUCAAUAAGGUGUUGGGUUAGUCAGGCUGAUCAACAAGUCUCAAUAAGAUGUUGGGUUAGUCAGGCUGAUCAGCAAGUCUCAAUAAGAUGUUGGGUUAGUCAGGCUGAUCAGCAAGUCUCAAUAAGAUGUUGGGUUAGUCAGGCUGAUCAGCAAGUCUCAAUAAGAUGUUGGGUUAGUCAGGCUGAUCAACAAGUGUCAAUAAGGUGUUGGGUUAGUCAGGCUGAUCAACAAGUCUCAAGCCUCAAAUACCUUAGUAAUAUAUUCUGUCUAUGGACUCAUGCUACUCAUUUUCACUGGGGGUUGUGUCCCAAAUGGCAACUCAUUCUGCUAUUCUAUAAGUGGAAUAAGGUGCCGUUAGGGAGACAAGCCGUCUCAGAACAUACGCUGUUAAACCAUUGAGUACAUUACUGUGCUGUUACAUAUUUAUAUCAUUUGUAAGUAUGCAUUAUUAUCAUUAUUUUAUAUUUGUAUACAUGCACUAGUUUUUAAGUGUGCAUUAUUUUUCGGGACAUGAAUCAAACUGACGUGUAAAAAAAAAAUAAAGUACUUUUUUGUUAA